UUGAGCAUCAAACUUUUAAAUUGAAGAGUUUGAUCAUGGCUCAGAUUGAACGCUGGCGGCAGGCCUAACACAUGCAAGUCGAACGGUAACAG
RNAcentral lists this ribosomal RNA (92 nucleotides) under Escherichia coli. RNAcentral's name for it is "partial 16S ribosomal RNA". The stretch from base 18 to 92 matches the Rfam family "Bacterial small subunit ribosomal RNA", at positions 1 to 75 of the family's 1533-position model. Lineage: Bacteria; Pseudomonadati; Pseudomonadota; Gammaproteobacteria; Enterobacterales; Enterobacteriaceae. The record is from RNAcentral.